Molecule: ribosomal RNA, 455 nt
Filed under: uncultured bacterium
Lineage: Bacteria
Description: bacterial SSU rRNA
Rfam family: Bacterial small subunit ribosomal RNA
Source: RNAcentral
UACGGAAGGCAGCAGUGGGGAAUAUUGCACAAUGGGCGAAAGCCUGAUGCAGCUAUGCCGCGUGUAUGAAGAAGGCCUUAGGGUUGUAAAGUACUUUCAUCGAGGAGGAAAAAACAAAACUAAUAAUUUUAUUUCUUGACGUUACCCGAAAAAGAAGCACCGGCUAACUCCGUGCCAGCAGCCGCGGUAAUACGGAGGGUGCUAGCGUUAAUCAGAAUUACUGGGCGUAAAGAGCACGUAGGUGGUUUUUUAAGUCAGAUGUGAAAUCCCUGGGCUUAACCUAGGAACUGCAUUUUGAAACUGAAAUACUAGAGUAUCGUAGAGGGAGGUAGAAUUCUAGGUGUAGCGGUGAAAUGCGUAGAUAUCUGGAGGAAUACCUGUGGCGAAAGCGGCCUCCUAAACGAAUACUGACACUGAGGUGCGAAAGCGUGGGGAGCAAACAGGGAUUAGAUACC